Molecule: long non-coding RNA, 2202 nt
Organism: Phasianus colchicus (ring-necked pheasant)
Lineage: Eukaryota; Metazoa; Chordata; Aves; Galliformes; Phasianidae
Source: Ensembl
GGGGGCUGCGGGGUCUGGGGGUCUUCAUGGGGUCUGUGGGGUUUCUAUGGGGUCUCUAUGGGAUCUAUGGGGUCUGUGGGGUCUCUAUGGGGUCUGUGGGGUUCUCUAUGGGGUCUCUAUGAGGUCUUAGGGGUCUGUGGGGUCUCUAUGGGUCUUAAUGGGGUCUCUAUGGGGUCUGUGGGGUCUCUGUGGGUCUUAAUGGGGUCUAUGGGGUCUUUGGGGUCUCUAUGGGUCUUAAUGGGGUCUAUGGGGUCUGUGGGGUCUCUAUGGGGUCUGUGGGGUCUCUGUGGGUCUUAAUGGGGUCUCUAUGGGUCUUAACGGGGUCUGUGGGGUCUCUAUGGGGUCUAUGGGGUCUCUAUGGGGCUCUGUGGGUCUCUAUGGAUCUCUGUGGGUGUCUUUGGGGCUCUGUGGGGUCUGUAUGGGUGUAUAUGAGGUCUCUAUGGGUGUCUAUGGGGUCUCUUUGGGGCUCUGUGGGGUCUAUGGGGUCUGUGGGAUCUCUAUGGGGUCUGUGGGGUCUCUAUGGAUCUCUGUGGGGUCUCACUGGGGUCUGUGGGUGUCUUUGGGGUCUCUAUGGGACUCUGUGGGGUCUAUUGGGUCAGUGGGAUCUCUGGGUCUUAAUGGAGUCUGUGGGGUCUCUAUGGGUCUGUAUGGGGUCUGUGGGGUCUCUAUGGGGUCUGUGGGGUCUCUAUGGGUCUGUAUGGGCUCUUUAUGGGGUCUAUGGGUGUCUAUGGAGUUUCUAUAAGGUCUUUGGGGUUUCUAUGGUUCUUAAUGGGGUCUGUGGGGUCUCUAUGGGUCUCUAUGGGGCUCUAUGAAUCUUAAUGGGUCUCUAUGGGGUCUGUGGGUGUCUAUGGGGUCUCUAUGGGGUCUGUGGGGUCUCUAUGGGUCUGUAUGGGGUCUCUGGGUCUCUAUGGGGUCACUUUGGGGUCUCUAUGGGAUCUAUGGGUGUCUAUGGGUGUCUAUGGGGUCUCUGUGUGUCUCUGUGGGUCUCUAUGGGGUCAUUUUGGAGUUUCUAUGGGGUCCCUUUGAGAUCUCUAUGGGUCUCUAUGGGGUCUCUAUGGGGUCGCUGUGGGUCUCUGUGGGAUCUCUAUGGGUCUCUAUGGGUUCUCUAUGGGGUCACUUCGGGGUCUCUAUGGGGUCACUUUGGGGUCACUUUGGGGUCUCUAUGGGGUCUCUCUGGUCCGUCCCUGCAGUCCCUGGCAGCGGUGGCUCGCGCCCCACGGGAGGAGCUGUCACUGUGCCCAGGGAUCGGACCCCAGAAGGCCAAGCGUCUCUACGAAGCCCUGCACGAACCCUUCCUGAAAGCACCCAAAAACCCCAAAUCUUCGCUUUUAUCCUAAAAAAACGACGACCCCAUAAACACAGCAACUGCAGCACUGCGUCACCGCCAUUUUGGGGACUGUGGGGUCAUUGGGGUGUCAGUGGGGUCAUUGGGGCUAUAUGUGGGUCAAUGCGGCCAUAUUGGGGACAUAUUAGGGUCAGGUUCCAGUGGAGACAUAUUAGGGUCAAGGGGCCAUAUUGGGGUCAGUGGGGCCAUAUUGGGGUCCAGUGGGACACAGGGGGGUCAGUGGGGCCAUAUUGCGGUCCAUGAGGCCAUAUUGGGGUCAAUGAAGACACUAGGGUCAGUGGGGCCAUAUUAGAACCAAUGGGGACACAGUGGGGUCAGUCAGGUGACAUUGGGGUCAGUGGGGCCAUACUAGGGUCAAUAGGGCCUAUAUGGGGUCUGAUGAGACUCAGUAGGGCAUUAUUGGGGUCAGUGGGGCCAUAUUGGGGUCCAUGAGGCCAUAUUGGGACCAAUAGGGCCAUAUGGGGUCCAAUGAGACACAAUGGGGUCAGUGGAGCCAUAUUGGGGUUGGUGGGGCCAUAUUGGGGUCAAUAGGGCCAUAUUAGGGUCCAUGAGGCCAUACUGGGUCCAAUGGGGACACAAUGGGUUCAGUCAGGUGACAUUGGGGUCAAUGGGGCCAUAUUGGGGUCAGUAAGACUGUAUGGGGUCCAAUGAGACACAAUGGGGUCGGUGGGGCCAUAUUGGGGUCAGUGGGGCCAUUUUGGGGUCAAUGGGGCCAUAUGGGGUCCAAUGAGACACAAUGGGGUCGGUGGGGCCAUAUUGGGGUCAAUGGGGCCAUAUUGGGUUCAAUUGAGCCGUUUUGGGGUCAAUGGCCCCAUUAUCUUUAAUAGGGUCACAUCGGGAUCAAUGGGGCCUUAUUG